CAGCCGCCGCGGUAAUACGUAGGGUGCAAGCGUUAAUCGGAAUUACUGGGCGUAAAGCGCACGCAGGCGGUCUGUUAAGUCAGAUGAGAAAUCCCCGGGCUUAACCUGGGAACUGCAUUUGAAACUGGCAGGCUUGAGUCUCGUAGAGGGGGGUAGAAUUCCAGGUGUAGCGGUGAAAUGCGUAGAGAUCUGGAGGAAUACCGGUGGCGAAGGCGGCCCCCUGGACAUUUACUGACGCUGAUGCACGAAGGCUAGGGGAGCAAACAGGAUUAGAUACCCCAGUAGUCCCUGUCUCUUAUAA
This 301-nucleotide ribosomal RNA is filed under the name uncultured bacterium. RNAcentral's name for it is "partial 16S ribosomal RNA". It matches the Rfam family "Bacterial small subunit ribosomal RNA", at positions 509 to 809 of the family's 1533-position model. The record is from RNAcentral.